This is a non-coding RNA of Phascolarctos cinereus (koala), 655 nucleotides long. NCBI's taxonomy places the organism in Eukaryota, Metazoa, Chordata, Mammalia, Diprotodontia, Phascolarctidae. The record is from RefSeq and is a predicted model, not a curated record.
AAGGGAAGACAACAAACAUUUGUUAAGCUGCUACCAUGGGUCAGGCUCUAUGCUAAAUACUUUACAAAUAUCUCAUUUGAUCCUCACAACAAUCUUGGGAGCUUUGCCAGUCUUAUGGUUGUAUGGUAGAACUUCAGAGUAAUACAGAAGGAGUUUCUGAAGAUCUCUUUCCAUUGAGAGGGGAGAGGACAUGAAAAGAGAUGAUGAAGAAACAAGCAACUAAGAAGUUGAAUUUCCUUCAAAAUCAGUCUUUCAGCAGAACCCCCAUGGAGCUGCUUGAGGGAAGAAUCACAUGAAGACAUCACUUACAUGAGCUGAGAGUCACCAAUCACAAGCUUUCUGGUGAUAUAGAAGCCCAUCAGUUCUUACCCUCUGUUUUGACACUACAUUCUGAAGUUCUCCAUGUCUUACCAUCAACUUUAUCAUUAUGUCCUCUUGACUCCUGGAUGCUGUCAUUUGACCUGCUGGUAUACCUUAAGGACCCCUGGAGUUUGGCAUCUGCUUGCAUCUUAUUUUUUAAAUUUUCAUCUACUGCACUUAGUACACAAUACUGAAUAAAUGCUUUUUCAUCCAUCCAUACAUCCAUUUAUUCAAUUAUUCAUUCAUUACACUCUUGGAGAAUUGCUUAGGGCAUUGAGAGCUAAAGGGACUCACC